AAAGAAUUAGUUUAUUAUAAAACAUUACUUUGUCAAAGUAAAAAAAUUUUUUUAAUAUUCUUUU
This 64-nucleotide transfer RNA is filed under the name Appolonius crassus. RNAcentral's name for it is "tRNA-Asp". Lineage: Eukaryota; Metazoa; Arthropoda; Insecta; Hemiptera; Rhyparochromidae. The record is from RNAcentral.